This 67-nucleotide transfer RNA is filed under the name Bos taurus (domestic cattle). It matches the Rfam family "tRNA". From Rfam's summary of the family: Transfer RNA (tRNA) molecules are approximately 80 nucleotides in length. Their secondary structure includes four short double-helical elements and three loops (D, anti-codon, and T loops). The record is from Rfam by way of RNAcentral. Lineage: Eukaryota; Metazoa; Chordata; Mammalia; Artiodactyla; Bovidae.
UUCCUAGUAGCUUAGUGGUAAAGAACCUGCCUGCAAUGCAGGAGAUGUGGGUUCAGUCCCUGGGGAA